CCUACGGGGGGCAGCAGUGAGGAAUAUUGGUCAAUGGGCUUACGCCUGAACCAGCCAAGUCGCGUGAGGGAAGACUGCCCUAUGGGUUGUAACCCUCUUUUGUCAGGGAGCAAUUGGCGCUACGUGUAGCGUUAUCGAGAGUACCUGACGAAAAAGCAUCGGCUAACUCCGUGCCGGUGGCCGCGGUAAUACGAAGGAUGCGAGCGUUAUCCGGAUUUAUUGGGUUAAAAGGCUGCGUAGGCGGAAAGCAAAGUAAGCGGUAAAAUCGCGGGUCUAAACCUAGCUCUGCCGUUGAAACUGGCGUUCUAGAGUAGGCGAGAGGUAGGCGGAAUGCGUGGUGUAGCGGUGAAAUGCAUAGAUAUCACGAAGAACACCGAUUGCGAAGGCAGCAUACCGGCGCCCAACUGACGCUGAAGCACGAAAGCGUGGGUAUCGAACAGGAUUAGAUACCCCAGUAGUC
Molecule: ribosomal RNA, 460 nt
Filed under: uncultured bacterium
Lineage: Bacteria
Description: partial 16S ribosomal RNA
Rfam family: Bacterial small subunit ribosomal RNA
Source: RNAcentral